CAGCCCGAUGGGGAUGGAGUGCCCCCGAAACCGCCCUCAAGGCUGAUGACUCCUACCGUGUU
Molecule: non-coding RNA, 62 nt
Filed under: Rhizobium sp.
Lineage: Bacteria; Pseudomonadati; Pseudomonadota; Alphaproteobacteria; Hyphomicrobiales; Rhizobiaceae
Description: Fluoride sequence
Rfam family: Fluoride riboswitch aptamer (crcB RNA motif)
Source: RNAcentral